AUGAUGGAGGCGACCUUGAGUGCAAUGGCCGCGCUCUGCUCUUCUGCGUUGGUGGUGGAGGCGGGGGCUAGCGCAAUUGAUGCACUAUGCUCUUCAGCGUUGGUGGUGGAUGCGAUGGCGAUGAAUGCAAUGGCUUACCUCUACUCUUCAACACCGGUGGCGGAGGCGGCGUUAAGUGCAAUGACCGCACUUUGCUCUUCUUUGUUGGUGGUGGGGGCGGCGGCGAGUGCGGUGCCUGCCCUCUACUCUUCUUUGUUGGUGGUGGGGGCGGCGGCGAGUACAAUGGCCGCUCUCGGUUCUUCUGUGCUGGUGGUGGAGUCAGUGGUAACAAUGCUCGACAUAAAGAAACAUUAUUUGAUGAAGCAACAACAAUCUGCAUUCGGGUCUACUGUGCUAAAUGGGUACUACAAGAUUAAGAAUAUGAAAACUUAA
Molecule: ribosomal RNA, 432 nt
Filed under: Triticum aestivum (bread wheat)
Lineage: Eukaryota; Viridiplantae; Streptophyta; Magnoliopsida; Poales; Poaceae
Description: partial small subunit ribosomal RNA
Source: RNAcentral